AGUGAACGCUGGCGUUAGGCCUAACACAUGCAAUUCUAACGGCUGCACUGUAAUAGCUUGCUCUUUCGGGUGGCGAGUGGCGGACUGGUUCUGUAUACAUCCGAAUUUACUUUUUCUUUGGGUCUCACGUAGGGUAACUUACGCUAAUACUCCAUCCUACCUACGGUUGUAAGCAUGGGAUCUUCGGCACUUGCAUUAUUGUAUGUGCCGAUGUCUGAUUAGCUAGUUGGCGGGUUAAAGGCCCACCAAGGCGACGAUUCGUAGCUGGUCUGAGAGGAUGAUCAGCCACACUGGAACUGAGACACGGUCCAGACUCCUACGGGAGGCAGCAGUGGGGAAUAUUGGACAAUGGGCGCAAGCCUGAUCCAGCCAUACCGCGUGGGUGAAGAAGGCCUUCGGGUUGUAAAGCCCGUUUGUUGGGAAAGAAAAGCAGCAGGUUAAUACCCCGCUGUUCCGACGGUACCAAAAGAAUAAGCACCGGCUAACUUCGUG
Molecule: ribosomal RNA, 492 nt
Filed under: uncultured bacterium
Lineage: Bacteria
Description: partial 16S ribosomal RNA
Rfam family: Bacterial small subunit ribosomal RNA
Source: RNAcentral